GAGCUGCAGACAGGAGCUGUUCCUAUUUGGCCAUCUUGCCUGGGAAUCCUCAUGUUGUUUCUUAAAGGAGAAGACCUAGUAAUAAAAACAGAAAUGCCUUUUAAAUAUUUUAACAAUGAUGGUUGAUAGAAAAGGUGAGGCUACACGGAACGGGGAGCUGGCUACAAAUCAAGAAGCGGGCCCUCACCAGACACUGCAUCUGCUGCCACCUUGAUCUUCAACUUCCCAGCUUCUAGACUAGAUUGGCUACUAUCGACAAUGUUGCUGUCAUCAGAAACUCAUGGGUAUCACUCCAGACAUUACCUUCUUUCUUUUGUCCAGCACCAGCAGCUUACCAAGUCCUAAAAGAUUCACUUGUAGAAUAAUACUUCUUCAUUCAUCUCUUGACAUUAUCUCAGAUGUAGCUUGCCCUGAGGCAAUGCCAAACACUUGCUGUUCCUUGACUGUUUGCUGCUUUUCCAUGAGUGGGUUUCUGGUUCACAUAGAAGAGGAGACAUCUGAAUAUGUAUAAGAAAAAUGUCAACCCUCCCCUAGUGGAUGCUGAAAAACUUGAGGAGAUGGACACCACAAUGGUGUGAAUGGGCAGAUUUCCCUGAAACGAUAUUUACAGAUGAGAUGAUAUUUUAUCCAGAUCUUGAAGUUUAAGUAAAAGCUUGCUAAUAUGCCAUUGCUGCUACUGCUGUUGUUGCCAUUGAUGAUGAUGAUAUUGAUCAUGACAAUAAAUAAUGAAUUA
Molecule: long non-coding RNA, 733 nt
Filed under: Homo sapiens (human)
Lineage: Eukaryota; Metazoa; Chordata; Mammalia; Primates; Hominidae
Description: HSALNT0057007
Source: RNAcentral